GCAGUUUGUGGCUGGUUGGAAUUCUUUAGUUCUUUUUUAGCAAUAGAAAGAGAAAACUCUUCGUCUCUCUUAAGAUUCAAUGGAAACAGUGGGAUACUGAUAUACCCAAUGUAGUUUAUGUACAGAAAGCAUAACCAAGCAUGAACAAAUAACAAGAAAAAACAACCCACUGGGCAACAUUUCAUCUUUAUUACUAAGACAAUAAACAGCAAAACCUUGGACAGGUUAGUAUACUUUUACUUAUAUAAGGACAUAAAUAUAUGCAGCAGCUUUGCUCAUCUACUUCUGAGGUAACACUGUAAUGUUCAACUUUAGAAACAGGACAUAAUAUUACACCCCAACAUUGUUUUAAUGCAUGGAGAAUUAUCCUGGUAUGAUGGUCUGAAAUCACUUUCUAAAAUAAAUGAGACACUAAUAUCAUGAACUUUGUACUGUUAGACAGUUAAACAGACAGAGCAUGUCAGAUUCCCAUUACAAUCAUAUGGACAAUAAAACUACUGUCCUUAGUUUUAGCUAACUGCAAAAUGAAUUUUUAAGAGAACACAUUAACUGCAUCAUACUCUUUACGCACUAUUUAAUACAUUUACAUUCCCUAAAAUGAUAAGUUAAACCAUUUAAUUAUUUCUUCUUACUGGGCAACAGUGUGAAUUUCAUACACACAGUUGAAACUGCGCUGCACAAUUAGUUUCACAAUCUUGAGAA
Non-coding RNA from Chiloscyllium plagiosum (whitespotted bambooshark), 702 nucleotides. NCBI's taxonomy places the organism in Eukaryota, Metazoa, Chordata, Chondrichthyes, Orectolobiformes, Hemiscylliidae. The record is from RefSeq and is a predicted model, not a curated record.